Long non-coding RNA from Myotis myotis, 2471 nucleotides. RefSeq lists it as uncharacterized. The transcript is spliced from 3 exons. NCBI's taxonomy places the organism in Eukaryota, Metazoa, Chordata, Mammalia, Chiroptera, Vespertilionidae. The record is from RefSeq and is a predicted model, not a curated record.
CAUGAUUGUAUUCCUCUAUGCGAUACAGCUGAUCAGGCGUACACCUCUCCAAAACGGGUUCAAGAACAGAAUACGGGACGCCUCCCACUUCAAAGAUUGCUGCAGAGAAUCAAAGUACCCGGAUGCACUGCUGGUGCAAGGUCAUCAUUUUGGGGAGAUAAGCACACUUGGAACCAGAGUACACCUGCAUCUUAGAAUUCAUUCUCCGUCCAGUGAAUCCAACUUCCUCCUCCUCCUGGGAAGAAGAGUGUGCUGUAACGCAAGAAACACAGAACAGAGGGGUAGAGACAGAGAAACAUCAAUUUGAGAGACAUCAACUGGGGGCUGCAACCGAGGGACAUAUCCUUGACUAGAAUCGAACCCAUAACCCUACAGUCCGAGGGCCAACACUCUAACCACUGAGCAAACCGGCUAGGGCUCAAACAGACCUUUACAUGCCUACCCUUGAUCCUCAACCAGAUAGUCCCCAGCCAAUUCAAAGUUAUACUUGCUCCAUUUCCACCAGAAGUCAUGUAUGUACAUGUAAACAUACUACCAUUCAAGAAGCUGCAAAUUACAAGUAGUUCAAAAUAGAGAACUGUGACUAACCUUUACAUUUACAUAUUAGUUCUUUUUCCAUGUAUAGCCCAGGACAUAUAAGUAUGUCACAAGCUACAGGUGGAGUAGCAAGUAUGUUUUUCUGAUCACUCUACUUCAAUAAUUACUGAAUAUGGUCACUAGGCAGAGCAACUGGAUCACAUAUAACAUUGUGUGACCAGGAACAAAUGAGAAGCAAGUGGUGGAUCUAGGGAGUUUCACCUUCAUAGUUGAGUGAAAAUUAUACUCCACUUCAAAUCUGGCUUUGUGUUCUGAAGUGAACAUUAAGAAGAUGAGAAGCUUCCAAUAUCCAACUUAGGAAAAACAAUUCCUCUCCUUAAAGGAACACUGAGAAUCACUGAAAAGGUUAGAAAUACAUUGUCUCCCCUAAUACCAUUCCCGGGAAGGCAUUUAUAUGCCAACUACUGUGUGUCGAUGACUAUGUUAAGUUCUUACAUGUGUCACCUCAUUUAUUUCAUCUUCAUUAACCACCUCUAUAAAGUGGAUAUUAUUCUCCCCAUUUUAUAGAUAUGGAGACCGAGCUCAGUGAGGCUAGGUAACUUACCUAAUGAGCUAGUAACCAAGUAUACCUACCUCAGUAUGUGCUACAAAGCCAGAAGCAACAUCCAAAACAAUAUUGUCCUUAGGAAACAGAGCUGUAGUUUACCCCAAAGCAAAAAGCUCCUCCUUAUAGCAUCAUAUUGUCAGACAGUUUAGAGUCCACAGCGUAAAGGUCGCCCUGGGGACAAAGGAUCCUCAGGAGCUCUGAAAGCCAAUGUUAAGGAUGGGUCAGAAGUCACUGAGAGGUGUUCCAUCGCAAAGCCUAGCACUAACUGGAGGAGCAGAUGCUACCUUCCUGGUUUGCUUUGGGUUCGUAAGGGCGACUUAAGAGGAGACAAAGCUAAAGCCCUGGAGAUUUUCAAAACGCUUUAGCCCCAUAAGUGAGAGGAAAGGGACUUCAGAGCCCUCUGUUUUCAAUGAGGUUCAAGAAAAAACACACACAGAGCAAUAACAAGGUAAAAGCACUUUGGGCAUCCUCAGGUAGAUGGAAACUUGUUAUUAAGCCAAAAGACCAUUGUAGAGUUUGCAAGAACUGAUAACAGGUCACUGAGAAAUGUCAAACAUUUGCACAGUACAGUGGGGCCUUGACUUAGAGUUUAAUUCCUUCAGAGACCGAGCUCGUUAACUCAAAUUACUCUAACUCAAUGCAAAAAAUCAGCCGAGAGACAGCUGGUAUCUCAAAAACUCGUUAGUCGGGACACUUGUAAGUCAAGGCCCCACUGUACAUGCUUAGGAAUUCAGCUGUCCUCUGCACACGUCUUCGAAUCCAAAGAGCAGAAGAUGUUCGUAAGGUUGACUCCUUAGUCUCCACUUGCCAUCAAACUGUGUUCUGGGUAGUUUCACAUUCAAAAUGUAACAAUGGACAGGUAACUUUACCAGCCAUAAAAAUUAUUUCCCAUAACAUAGUAGCAAUCAAGUGAUCCUGGUCUCUGCCUGACACCUUUGCACCAAGUAAACCUUGACCAUAGAUGGACUUAAAAGUGAAAAUAGUUAAACACCAAUAUUAAUACCAGAAAAUCCACGAAUAUAUGCAUGGAAUCCACCCUUUGGCUAAUAAUGGUUUGAAAUCAGGAUUUAGUUGCAAUUCGGUACUGCUAUAUAAUCAUCUUGCAAUUUCAAGAACAACCUGUGGGAGCUUGUUGGGUUAACAGAAGGUUGAGGAAAAGGCCAUUGUGCCAGCUUGCAGUUUUCCCCCUGCAGUUAGCUCAUUUCUGCACGCUAGCUAAUGCUAGCGAAAAUGAUCUCCCAACAUUUUUCUCAUCUUCUUUUAAUUUUUAAAAAUUGAUCUUAGAGAGAUGGAGGGGGAGAGGGGGAGAGGGGAAGAGAGGGAGAAG